CGGGACCGCACAGGCGGUGGAUGAUGUGGAUUAAUUCGAUGCAACGCGAAAACCUUACCUACCCUUGACAUGUCCGGAAUCCCGAAGAGAUUUGGGAGUGCUCGCAAGAGAACCGGAACACAGGUGCUGCAUGGCUGUCGUCAGCUCGUGUCGUGAGAUGUUGGGUUAAGUCCCGCAACGAGCGCAACCCUUGUCAUUAGUUGCCAUCAUUUGGUUGGGCACUCUAAUGAGACCGCCGGUGACAAACCGGAGGAAGGUGGGGAUGACGUCAAGUCCUCAUGGCCCUUAUGGGUAGGGCUUCACACGUCAUACAAUGGUCGGUACAGAGGGUUGCCAACCCGCGAGGGGGGAGCUAAUCCCACAAAGCCGAUCGUAGUCCGGAUCGCAGUCUGCAACUCGACUGCGUGAAGUCGGAAUCGCUAGUAAUCGUGGAUCAGCAUGUCACGGUGAAUACGUUCCCGGGUCUU
This 467-nucleotide ribosomal RNA is filed under the name uncultured Rhodocyclaceae bacterium. Its description in RNAcentral is "bacterial SSU rRNA". It matches the Rfam family "Bacterial small subunit ribosomal RNA", at positions 917 to 1381 of the family's 1533-position model. The record is from RNAcentral. Lineage: Bacteria; Pseudomonadati; Pseudomonadota; Betaproteobacteria; Rhodocyclales; Rhodocyclaceae.